This 534-nucleotide ribosomal RNA is filed under the name uncultured bacterium. RNAcentral describes it as "partial 16S ribosomal RNA". The record is from RNAcentral.
GGAGUUAGCCGGUGCUUCUUCUGUGAGUGAUGUCCUUCCUGCCGGCUAUUAACCCGCAGGCCUUCUUCCUCACUGAAAGUGCUUUACAACCCGAAGGCCUUCUUCACACACGCGGCAUGGCUGGAUCAGGGUUGCCCCCAUUGUCCAAUAUUCCCCACUGCUGCCUCCCGUAGGAGUCUGGGCCGUGUCUCAGUCCCAGUGUGGCUGAUCAUCCUCUCAGACCAGCUACGGAUCGUCGCCUUGGUGAGCCGUUACCUCACCAACCAGCUAAUCCGACAUAGGCUCAUCCGAUAGCGCGAGGCCCGAAGGUCCCCCGCUUUCCCCCGUAGGGCGUAUGCGGUAUUAGCCUGGGUUUCCCCAGGUUAUCCCCCACUACCGGGCAGAUUCCUAUGCAUUACUCACCCGUCCGCCGCUCGCCACCAGGGAGCAAGCUCCCCGUGCUGCCGCUCGACUUGCAUGUGUUAGGCCUGCCGCCAGCGUUCAAUCUGAGCCAUANCACACUCACNCNGCGGCGUCGUCGACGACGGCGACUAG